Long non-coding RNA from Lolium perenne, 1114 nucleotides. RefSeq lists it as uncharacterized. The record is from RefSeq and is a predicted model, not a curated record. NCBI's taxonomy places the organism in Eukaryota, Viridiplantae, Streptophyta, Magnoliopsida, Poales, Poaceae.
GGGUUUUCAUUUUGAUUGCAGAUUCUACCAGUAGCUUCUCUUCCGCUGGCCCGCUGCCGAUGUUCCCAGUAGGCCACACCCCCAAACAGCAGCAGCACAAGUAUAGCUGAUGGAUGUUACCAUGCAUCGGCUAGCACAUAUAUGUCUAUUCUAACCUAUGAAGGCUUCAGGUGGUUCAGUAAUACUGAAAAAGGAUGAACUUCUCAGAUGCGUCGCGGCGGAGAGGGACCUGCCCGUGCUGGAGGCGCUCGAUCUGGAGAGGCCAGAUCUGCAGCGGCGGUGCUCGACGGUUGCAUCAGUGCUGGAUCUUCUUCCCGGCGGCUUGGAGAAGCAAGAUGAUUGCGGGGAGGAUGGCAGGACGGCUCCUACAGCACCAGAGUAGUGGGAGGACGCUGCCUGCGCCUGGGAGCACCGGGCCGCCGUCAACUUCAACUUCUCCGAGCAGCACGACGACGACUGCCACCACCGCUACCAAUGCAGAUCAUAUAGAAUGUGUACAAGGAGCUGGAGCCGAGCACCAAGAAGCUACACUUCUCACUAGCAUACCUGCCCCUGGCUUUCCCUGUCUACCUUUGGUACAGAAGCCUCGGAAAGAACGGUUCACACUUCAACCCAAGCAGCGAUCUGUUCACCCCCAAGGAGAGGCGUGAUGUGAUCUUGGCAUCUGAGUUAACUGGAGCAGAAGGAGGAUGACACCACAUCUCCCCUGGAUCAGUAUUGCGGGUCUGUGCGGUGGUGCAGUUGCCCACGCUCAGAUGGGACGGAAUCAGGUCCAGCUCUCGUGCUCACCUCAGAGCUGCUAUUCCUAGCAUCCAUUAACUCAAGUAGUACAUCUUAGAUCUGAUGGCAGUGUGCUGACAUUGGAGGAACAAGCAUCGUCGAAACAAGUGAGGAAGAUAAGAUGGAAGCCAGUUAGAUGAACCCUGUUAUAUGAACCUUGUUGUAUAUUUUAUCUAAUGGUUUCAAACCUUGUUGUGCAUGAUGUGGAGAUGAACCCUGUUGGUCAUGUAAGUUAGAUGCCUAGAUUGUGAACCCUUGAAUGUUUCAAAAUGUUGUUUUCAGACCAAGAUUGGUUGGAAAUAUUGGUUUUAAACAUUACUUGACUUCUUGAGUA